This 274-nucleotide ribosomal RNA is filed under the name uncultured bacterium. Its description in RNAcentral is "partial 16S ribosomal RNA". It matches the Rfam family "Bacterial small subunit ribosomal RNA", at positions 523 to 796 of the family's 1533-position model. The record is from RNAcentral.
AUACGGAGGGGGCUAGCGUUGUUCGGAAUUACUGGGCGUAAAGCGCGCGUAGGCGGAUUGGUUAGUUGGGGGUGAAAUCCCAGGGCUCAACCCUGGAACUGCCCUCAAUACUGCCAGUCUAGAGAUCGAGAGAGGUGAGUGGAAUUCCUAGUGUAGAGGUGAAAUUCGUAGAUAUUAGGAAGAACACCAGUGGCGAAGGCGGCUCACUGGCUCGAUACUGACGCUGAGGUACGAAAGCGUGGGGAGCAAACAGGAUUAGAAACCCCAGUAGUCC